RNAcentral lists this ribosomal RNA (407 nucleotides) under uncultured bacterium. RNAcentral's name for it is "partial 16S ribosomal RNA". It matches the Rfam family "Bacterial small subunit ribosomal RNA", at positions 360 to 774 of the family's 1533-position model. The record is from RNAcentral.
AAUAUUUCGCAAUGGAGGGAACUCUGACGCAGCGACGCCGCGUGAGCGAUGAAGGUCUUCGGAUCGUAAAGCUCUGUCCUCAGGGAAGAAGGUCUUUUGACUUGACGGUAUCUGUUGAGGUAGCCCUGGCUAACUACGUGCCAGCAGCCGCGGUAAUACGUAGGGGGCAAGCGUUGUCCGGAAUUAUUGGGCGUAAAGGGUGCGUAGGGGGCCUUUUAAGUCAGAUGUGAAAGCCCACGGCUUAACCGUGGGAUGGCAUUUGAAACUGGAGAGCUUGAGUAUCGGAGAGGGUAGUGGAAUUCCCAGUGUAGCGGUGAAAUGCGUAGAUAUUGGGAGGAACACCAGUGGCGAAGGCGACUACCUGGACGAAAACUGACGCUGAUGCAUGAAAGCUAGGGGAGCAAACA